UGAUUAAUUGCUUUUUUAAUA
Molecule: non-coding RNA, 21 nt
Filed under: Caenorhabditis elegans
Lineage: Eukaryota; Metazoa; Nematoda; Chromadorea; Rhabditida; Rhabditidae
Source: RNAcentral